Molecule: non-coding RNA, 91 nt
Organism: Kalaharituber pfeilii
Lineage: Eukaryota; Fungi; Ascomycota; Pezizomycetes; Pezizales; Pezizaceae
Source: the annotation of a GenBank genome assembly
GGUUAAAUGGUGUAGUGGUUAUCACAUCUGUCUUACAAUGUGCUUGCACAAUGUGCACAGAAGGUCCCAAGUUCAAUCCUUGGUUUAAUCA